GUCGGAGUGAACGGGAUUCGGUCCUGUGGAAACUGGCGCACCGGUGAGUAACGCGUGGGAAUCUACCCCGGGGUGGGGAAUAACCGUUGGAAACGACGGCUAAUACCGCAUACGCCUUGAGAGGGAAAGCUAUAUGCUGCCCUGGGAUGAGCCCGCGUCGGAUUAGGUUGUUGUUGGGGUAAUGGCCUAGUCAAGCCUUCGAUCCGUAGCUGGUCUGAGAGGAUGAUCAGCCACACUUGGGACUGAGACACGGCCCAGACUCCUACGGGAGGCAGCAGUGGGGGAAUAUUGGACAAUGGGGGAAACCCUGAUCCAGCCAUGUCGCGUGCGUGAAGAAGGCCUUAGGGUUGUAAAGCGCUUUCGCGGGGAAGAUGAUGACGGUACCCGCAGAAGAAGCCCCGGCUAACUCCGUGCCAGCAGCCGCGGUAAUACGGAGGGGGCAAGCGUUGUUCGGAAUACUGGCGUAAAGGGCGCGUA
RNAcentral lists this ribosomal RNA (477 nucleotides) under uncultured bacterium. RNAcentral describes it as "bacterial SSU rRNA". It matches the Rfam family "Bacterial small subunit ribosomal RNA", at positions 61 to 573 of the family's 1533-position model. The record is from RNAcentral.